GAAAUGCGAUACCUAGUGUGAAUUGCAGAAUUCCGCGAAUCAUCGAGUUUUUGAACGCAAGUUGCGCCCGAGGCUCGUACCGAGGGCAUGUCUGUCUGAGCGUCCA
This 106-nucleotide ribosomal RNA is filed under the name Frullania chevalieri. Its description in RNAcentral is "partial 5.8S ribosomal RNA". It matches the Rfam family "5.8S ribosomal RNA", at positions 50 to 154 of the family's 154-position model. Rfam says of the family: 5.8S ribosomal RNA (5.8S rRNA) is a component of the large subunit of the eukaryotic ribosome. It is transcribed by RNA polymerase I as part of the 45S precursor that also contains 18S and 28S rRNA. The record is from RNAcentral. Lineage: Eukaryota; Viridiplantae; Streptophyta; Jungermanniopsida; Porellales; Frullaniaceae.